This is a long non-coding RNA of Rhinopithecus roxellana (golden snub-nosed monkey), 493 nucleotides long. RefSeq lists it as uncharacterized. Lineage: Eukaryota; Metazoa; Chordata; Mammalia; Primates; Cercopithecidae. The record is from RefSeq and is a predicted model, not a curated record. The transcript is spliced from 4 exons.
AUGCCUCUCCACUGUAAGCCUCCUGCAACCCUCAGCCCUACCUUCCACUUUGGGCUUUGCCUCAGCCAGCCGCUCCUGGAAUUUCUUCUUGAAGAAGAGGGCUUGCAGUCGCUGCUGGUAGUGGUCAAUCCUGUAGACAAGGAGGUCAAUGUCGCUCUUCUCUGGGAUGAACUUGAGGAGCUGCAAAGAGCAGGCGCAAGUCACACAAGCAACUGACAGGAUCUCACUAUGUAGCCCUGGCUGGUCUUCACCUCGUGAGCUCAAGCGAUGCUCUCACUUCAGCCUCCAAAAGUGCUGAGAUUACAGGUUUCCCAAAGGAUCCAAAAAAAACAAAAACAAAAACAAAAACUGAGGGGGAAGAGAUUUGGGGAAGAUAUCACUAUUCCUCAUCUGACUUUGCCUUGGGAGCCAUGGGAGAACGACUCCUGGAGAACACGCAACCUUUUCCAGCUUUCCCCAAGAAGGGCUGGCCCAGGGGGGUUUCUAUAAACCU